AACGCGAAGAACCUUACCUGGGCUCGAAGCGCAGUGGACCGGGGUAGAAAUAUCCCUUUUCGCAAGAACUGCUGCGGAGGUGCUGCAUGGCUGUCGUCAGCUCGUGUCGUGAGAUGUUGGGUUAAGUCCCGCAACGAGCGCAACCCUUAUCGUUAGUUGCCAGCGAGUCAAGUCGGGCACUCUAGCGAAACCGCCCCGGAUAACGGGGAGGAAGGUGGGGAUGACGUCAAGUCCUCAUGGCCUUUAUGUCCAGGGCUACACACGUGCUACAAUGGCCGGUACAAACCGUCGCAAACCUGCGAAGGGGAGCUAAUCGGAAAAAGCCGGCCUCAGUUCGGAUUGGAGUCUGCAACCCGACUCCAUGAAGCUGGAAUCGCUAGUAAUCGCGGAUCAGCACGCCGCGGUGAAUACGUUCCCGGGCCUUGUACACACCGUAGUAC
Molecule: ribosomal RNA, 440 nt
Filed under: uncultured bacterium
Lineage: Bacteria
Description: bacterial SSU rRNA
Rfam family: Bacterial small subunit ribosomal RNA
Source: RNAcentral